Long non-coding RNA from Mauremys mutica (yellowpond turtle), 891 nucleotides. RefSeq lists it as uncharacterized. The record is from RefSeq and is a predicted model, not a curated record. The transcript is spliced from 3 exons. NCBI's taxonomy places the organism in Eukaryota, Metazoa, Chordata, Testudines, Geoemydidae.
CUUGUCCCAGCUUCUCCCAUGUUCUCUCUCUAUGUUUUUACCUUGAAAACUUCUGCUCAGAGCUGGGAAUGCCUGAAGGGCUUGCACGAAUAGGAAAGCUGAUUACCUGGCUCCAUAUUCCAUGUGCAGUUUCAUGUUACCAAACUGAUCAGAAAAGAACUGGGCCAACCCUGGGGGAACAGAAAGAACAUCUCACAACCCACCCCUACCCAAGAGGGGCUAGAUGACACAUGGUGCAGAGUAUUGACAGAUGUGGGAUAUGUCUAGAUAUGUCUAAAGGCACAGAAAAAAAUUCCAUAUGGGAGAGAUUUAAAAGAUUUGCACUAUGUAGUUUAAAGAGAAGAUGAGUAAUAGGCCAUGAUACACAUUUAUGAAUUAAUGUAUGAUAUAGAGAAUAUAUAUAUGGAAGUCCUAUUUACCCUUUCUCGUGACAUUAGAACAAAGAGACCCCAAUAAAAUUACAAGCAAGACAUCUGAAAAUAAUAAAAAGAAAUACUUAUUUUUCAUAGCCUGCACUUAACCUGUGGAACUCAUUGUCGUGAGAUAUUAUUGCAGCUUAACAGGAUUCAAAACAGAAGUAAACAUUUAUAAUACCAACUCCCAUAGUUACAUUAGACAGAAAAAAACAUUCUAUGGAAUAUAAAACUUCAUGCAUUCAGACAUAAAGCAGCCAACUGCCUGGGUUUAGGAAGAAACUUUUCCAUUAGGAAAGUUGCAUAUAGCUGCUCAUUAAGUGGUUUCUUGCACCUUUCUCCUCAAAAGCAUGUAAUAUUGGCCAAUCUUGGAAAUAGGACAGUGGACUAGCUGGACUGUGAGAAUUUCUAUAUUCCUUUGAUAUUAAUAGUUUGCUUUGAAUUUCCAUGGACACAAAGCAAGAUGGACUAAUUUGAC